RNAcentral lists this ribosomal RNA (466 nucleotides) under uncultured bacterium. RNAcentral's name for it is "partial 16S ribosomal RNA". It matches the Rfam family "Bacterial small subunit ribosomal RNA", at positions 28 to 507 of the family's 1533-position model. The record is from RNAcentral.
GACGAACGCUGGCGGCGUGCUUAACACAUGCAAGUCGAACGGAAAGGCCUCUUUCGGGGGGUACUCGAGUGGCGAACGGGUGAGUAACACGUGAGUAACCUGCCCUUGUCUUUGGGAUAACUUCAGGAAACUGGGGCUAAUACCGGAUAGGAGCUCCUGCUGCAUGGUGGGGGUUGGAAAGUUUCGGCGGUUGGGGAUGGACUCGCGGCUUAUCAGCUUGUUGGUGGGGUAGUGGCUUACCAAGGCUUUGACGGGUAGCCGGCCUGAGAGGGUGACCGGCCACAUUGGGACUGCGAUACGGCCCAGACUCCUACGGGAGGCAGCAGUGGGGAAUAUUGCACAAUGGGCGGAAGCCUGAUGCAGCAACGCCGCGUGCGGGAUGACGGCCUUCGGGUUGUAAACCGCUUUCGCCUGUGACGAAGCGUGAGUGACGGUAAUGGGUAAAGAAGCACCGGCUAACUACGUG